Molecule: transfer RNA, 70 nt
Filed under: Falco peregrinus (peregrine falcon)
Lineage: Eukaryota; Metazoa; Chordata; Aves; Falconiformes; Falconidae
Also listed under: 2 other names
Description: tRNA-Ala
Source: RNAcentral
GAGGCCCUAGCUUAAUUAGAGUAUCUAAGUUGCAUUUAGAUGGUGCAGGUUUAGUGUCCUGCGGGUCUUA